This 212-nucleotide unclassified non-coding RNA is filed under the name Hevea brasiliensis (rubber tree). Lineage: Eukaryota; Viridiplantae; Streptophyta; Magnoliopsida; Malpighiales; Euphorbiaceae. The record is from RNAcentral.
GGAAACAGCUCUCCUGAGGAUGAAGAUACAGCAGUCUUCUGUCUGGAAUUGUUGAUUGCCAUUACCCUGAAUAACCGAGAUAGAAUUGUGCUUCUUUGGCCUGGUGUGUAUGAUCAUAUAUCUAACAUUGUGCAGUCAACUGUCAUGCCCUGUGCCCUGGUGGAGAAAGCUGUUUUUGGACUACUCCGGAUCUGCCAGCGCUUGCUUCCUUA